RNAcentral lists this ribosomal RNA (422 nucleotides) under Verrucomicrobiota bacterium. RNAcentral describes it as "Verrucomicrobia bacterium partial 16S ribosomal RNA". It matches the Rfam family "Bacterial small subunit ribosomal RNA", at positions 355 to 776 of the family's 1533-position model. Lineage: Bacteria; Pseudomonadati; Verrucomicrobiota. The record is from RNAcentral.
UGGGGAAUAUUGCACAAUGGGCGAAAGCCUGAUGCAGCGACGCCGCGUGAGGGAUGGAGGCCUUCGGGUUGUAAACCUCUUUCAGUAAGGGUGAAGGCUCUCUUUUGUGGAGGGUUGACAGUACUUGCAGAAGAAGCGCCGGCUAACUACGUGCCAGCAGCCGCGGUAAUACGUAGGGCGCGAGCGUUGUCCGGAAUUAUUGGGCGUAAAGGGCUUGUAGGUGGCGUGUCGCGUCUGCUGUGAAAUUCCAGGGCUUAACUUUGGGAUUUCAGUGGGUACGGGCAUGCUAGAGUGCAGUAGGGGAGAUUGGAAUUCCUGGUGUAGCGGUGAAAUGCGCAGAUAUCAGGAGGAACACCGGUGGCGAAGGCGGGUCUCUGGGCUGUUACUGACGCUGAGGAGCGAAAGCGUGGGGAGCGAACAGG